RNAcentral lists this ribosomal RNA (594 nucleotides) under uncultured fungus. RNAcentral's name for it is "eukaryotic LSU rRNA". The stretch from base 226 to 379 matches the Rfam family "5.8S ribosomal RNA". The record is from RNAcentral. Lineage: Eukaryota; Fungi.
AGUCGUAACAAGGUUUCCGUAGGUGAACCUGCGGAAGGAUCAUUAAAGAGUAAGGGUGCUCAGCGCCCGACCUCCAACCCUUUGUUGUUAAAACUACCUUGUUGCUUUGGCGGGACCGCUCGGUCUCGAGCCGCUGGGGAUUCGUCCCAGGCGAGCGCCCGCCAGAGUUAAACCAAACUCUUGUUAUUAAACCGGUCGUCUGAGUUAAAAUUUUGAAUAAAUCAAAACUUUCAACAACGGAUCUCUUGGUUCUCGCAUCGAUGAAGAACGCAGCGAAAUGCGAUAAGUAAUGUGAAUUGCAGAAUUCAGUGAAUCAUCGAAUCUUUGAACGCACAUUGCGCCCCUUGGUAUUCCGAGGGGCAUGCCUGUUCGAGCGUCAUUACACCACUCAAGCUAUGCUUGGUAUUGGGUGCCGUCCUUAGUUGGGCGCGCCUUAAAGCCCUCGGCGAGGCCUCACCGGCUUUAGGCGUAGUAGAAUUUAUUCGAACGUCUGUCAAAGGAGAGGACUUCUGCCGACUGAAACCUUUUAUUUUUCUAGGUUGACCUCGGAUCAGGUAGGGAUACCCGCUGAACUUAAGCAUAUCAUAAAAGUCG